Molecule: ribosomal RNA, 497 nt
Filed under: uncultured bacterium
Lineage: Bacteria
Description: partial 16S ribosomal RNA
Rfam family: Bacterial small subunit ribosomal RNA
Source: RNAcentral
GAUGAACGCUGGCGGCGUGCCUAAUACAUGCAAGUCGAGCGAACAGACGAGGAGCUUGCUCCUCUGACGUUAGCGGCGGACGGGCGAGUAACACGUGGAUAACCUACUUCUAAUACUGGGAUAACUUCGGGAAACCGGAGCUAAUACCGGAUAAUAUAUUGAACCGCAUGGUUCAAUAGUGAAAGACGGUUUUGCUGUCACUUAUAGAUGGAUCCGCGCCGCAUUAGCUAGUUGGUAAGGUAACGGCUUACCAAGGCAACGAUGCGUAGCCGACCUGAGAGGGUGAUCGGCCACACUGGAACUGAGACACGGUCCAGACUCCUACGGGAGGCAGCAGUAGGGAAUCUUCCGCAAUGGGCGAAAGCCUGACGGAGCAACGCCGCGUGAGUGAUGAAGGUCUUCGGAUCGUAAAGCUCUGUUAUUAGGGAAGAACAAAUGUGGAAGUAACUAUGCACGUCUUGACGGUACCUAAUCAGAAAGCCACGGCUAACUACGUG